Molecule: long non-coding RNA, 1345 nt
Organism: Panicum virgatum (switchgrass)
Lineage: Eukaryota; Viridiplantae; Streptophyta; Magnoliopsida; Poales; Poaceae
Exons: 2
Source: RefSeq, a predicted model, not a curated record
CGAUCUAGUUUAAUUUUAUCUCAUGUGUGUGUAUAUAAUAAUGGGACUGGGAUGCGGCGCUGCUUUUUGUUAGACCGGCUCUUUAGUAUUUUUUGGGUGGGAAAUGGUUCACAUUGUUUUCUUCUAUCAAAUUUUAGUUACCUCUGUAUUGUGUGCUUGCUGCUAAACUUAGUGCUCGUCCACUCCAUUUAGGAGCUAUCACCUGCACUAUGGUGAUUCAGGCAUUCAGCUCGAUGGUGUUGUCAGUUCAGCUGAUAAUAUUCCCACUGCAGUUUAUGCUAAACUUGUGUUCUAACUGAACAAAUAUUUAUAUGGACACCAAUUGCAUCUAGAUUUGUAUGCAUGAUGAUUUGUUGUUCAUCAGGGCGAGAGUAUCAUUGAAGCAAAGUAUACCGCGAAUUUUAUUCUGUGAUGUGUCUUCUUUGUAUGCAUUGAGCUACUGAUAAUAUAUAUGGCAUGUUCACCUCAAAAAAUAUAUAUGGCAUGUUGUGUGCAUUUCACAUGGGUGAAAAGGCUCUGUUUCCUGAGCAUGUCCCAGUUUUCCGUGGAUGAAUACAUUAUUACUCCCUCCUAGGAAUACAUUAUACAAAAUGCCUUUUAUAUCAGUACAGAUUCUUCAAGUCUAACUGUAUAUACCCCAAAAAUUUCUUCAAAAAAUUAUAAAGCAGUAACUUCUUACUUAGCAGAAGUCUUCUUGAAUUUAUUUUUGUUCUGCAUAUAAUCUAGGCCCUUUGCCAUUUUCUUCUAGCCAACUCCUUUGCAGAUUUAUACUGUGACAAAUAACACAUCCUCAUGUAAGCUAGCUUUAUAGGAAAAGAAAUAUCAGUCCUAGACAUCAACAGAGAUACAGCCAUAGCAGUGCACAUAAUGCCCUUGGCUAACCUUGUAGUUCCCUUUUUUGCAAGCGAUUCACUGUCCAACAUCGAUUACGAACUGCAAGCCAGAGAAAGAUCAUGCAUUUGUUAGGGGCCCAAGACUUCCACAAACGUUUCCAAGGUUCAAACUUGAUGGCGCCGACAAAGAAGGCUUUAUAAGCUGAUCUUGAGGAGAAGAAACCUGAGCUUUCAAACUUCCAGCGAUGUAUGUCAGACGAACUGCUUAAGUGAACAUCAGAGAUUGCAUCCCAAAGCUCAAGAUACUCCAUAAGACCAUGCCAAUUCAGUGCGCCUCUUAUGUCAAAAACCCAAGUGUUAUCCACCAAAGCCUCAGCCACCGUUCUUUUCUUUCGUGUGCGUACUGUGACAGUCCUAAAAACAUUUGGUGCAAGUUCUUCUAUACUUUUACCAAGUAACCAUCUAUCGGACCAGAAAAGAGUGUCAUAGCCACUACCCAUAUUUGUCACAAC